Prosopis cineraria is the source of this 335-nucleotide long non-coding RNA. RefSeq lists it as uncharacterized. The transcript has 3 exons. Lineage: Eukaryota; Viridiplantae; Streptophyta; Magnoliopsida; Fabales; Fabaceae. The record is from RefSeq and is a predicted model, not a curated record.
GAAAAUUGCAACUUUUGGCCCAAAGGUUUGAAUAAUUAAAUUCAAACCUAUAGUUUUUUUUUAAUAUAAUUUUGGGACUCACAAUCCCAUUUUUAUAUUAUUUUUCUCUCUUCCUCUCACGUUGCUCGGCGUUUUCUCACAAGGGGGGAUUAUUUUCUUUUUCUUCAGAUUAUAUUGACAAAGAUAGUGGUGAAAAAGGAGUUGUGAAGGGGAACUUGUUAUUCAAGACACAAGGAGCGAAUCCGGCCGAGAAAGCACCAGAGGUGUAAUUAUGGUGUAUGAGACACCAUCUUUUACGUUGCCUCUUAUUUUGGAUUAUACAAUGUAUCUUGUGC